AUCAUACAAAGUGACCCCGGUCUACCCACCGGGAUGUUCAUAACCCUUUGUUGUCCGACUCUGUUGCCUCCGGGGCGACCCUGCCUUCGGGCGGGGGCUCCGGGUGGACACUUCAAACUCUUGCGUAACUUUGCAGUCUGAGUAAACUUAAUUAAUAAAUUAAAACUUUUAACAACGGAUCUCUUGGUUCUGGCAUCGAUGAAGAACGCAGCGAAAUGCGAUAAGUAAUGUGAAUUGCAGAGUUCAGUGAAUCAUCGAAUCUUUGAACGCACAUUGCGCCCCUUGGUAUUCCGGGGGGCAUGCCUGUUCGAGCGUCAUUAUCACCCCUCAAGCUCAGCUUGGUGUUGGGGCCUGCCCGUCACAGGGCAGCCCUUAAAAGCAGUGGCGGUGCCAUCUGGCUCUAAGCGUAGUAAUACUCCUCGCUAUAGACGUCUGGUGGUGUCCUGCCAAAACCCCCCAUAUUUUUAAUGAUUGACCUCGGAUCAGGUAGGGAUACCCGCUGAACUUAAGCAUAUCAAUAAGCGGAGGA
RNAcentral lists this ribosomal RNA (529 nucleotides) under uncultured fungus. Its description in RNAcentral is "eukaryotic LSU rRNA". The stretch from base 164 to 317 matches the Rfam family "5.8S ribosomal RNA". The record is from RNAcentral. Lineage: Eukaryota; Fungi.